CUGGGCCUCGUGUCCUGCUGCCCGGGGGUCACCGUGCCGGACCCGCAGCGUUACCCCACUUCCAGAGACGUCGGGCGUGCUCUCUUCCGAUCUAAAACGCUGAGAUUUAUGUCCGUCCACCAUGAAAUCGCGGAUGCUUUUGUAAUUAUUAGUCCAGUGCUUCCAGUUUUGAAGCAUACAACGGAUCAGUGAAAGCAACGAAGAAAUCCUGCAAAUUACUUUCUGCCAAGAAAAUCCUUCAGAUGCCACGAGCACUAAGUCACAUUGUUUUUCACAGAGACAAACCUCUGCAUAUGGAAGGUAGCUGCAGGCCAGUGUUAACAUUGGCGAGCCCUCUUGCUGUCUGUGUCACCAAGAAAAGCACAGGAUUGUACUUGUGCUCCAAACUUCUGAUUUUGCUUUUCUCUACCAAGUGCUUUUCACCUGAACUGUUGUAUUGGAAGUCUGCAACAAAUUGAAUUUCAGCAUUGUAAUGAAUGCCCUGACCACAACAGCAGAAGACACAUUUUGUUGAUUAAUCAAAACCACCUUCACACCAUCAUGAAGAACUGGCUUACACUGAGUUGAGCAAGCAAUCAUUUUUACUCUAGUUCUGGUGUAUUUUUUUCACAGUCAAGUACAAGCUUUUUUCAAACCCAGAUACCAGUGGAAGAUGUACUUUUCUUUUUCUUGAAAAGAAAGCUAAUUUGCAAGUAAAUUAUGAAGGGAUUAAAAUUACUGAUGUUAAAAUAAACCAAGAACAUUGUGUCACUUGAGACUUAUGCUUUUAGUUAUUUGCAAUUACAAUUUGCUUUUAUUGUUCAGUAAUAUAUGGUAGGUCUCCCACAUACUUUUGGAAGUUCACCUAGUUUGAUGGAUAUUUUGUCUCUUCACUAAAUAAAAGAAUGAGUAAUAUGAAUAAUGACAAUAUUAAUGUGUGGAAAAAAAAAACCCAACAAAAUCCACUGUAACUACUCUGGAUGAUAAUUACAGGAAACAAUGCCUUAAAGAUGUUGCCAAACCACAACUGCCCCCUUUUACAAGUAAACAAAAGUACCUGCAGAAACUGAGAAUCUGUUUAUUUUACUCUGAUUUCCACAUUUCAAAUACCACAAGUUUUUCUGGACACAGUGUAUACUUAGCAUUUAUACGUCUAUCUGUAUGAACUGCAGUUACAUGACAUGGGAAGACCUACUUCUGGAGCUAACACGAAUUGUUCAAGUCCAGGAGUCAUAUCAAAAGCGAAGUGCUGUACUGUGUGUGCCCCUCAGCUCCAUGCACAUGAAUUCUCAGUUCCUGCUGGGUUUAUUUUUUCAUCUGGAAAAAUAAAAUAGUGUGAACUUUGAUCCUUUGACUCAAGUUUGGAAAGGAUUACUUUUGUUUAGGAUCAUGGCAAUUUUGUUAAAUCAGAGUAUCAAAAACUUGCCCCACUUCUGCACCAUUUAAGGCUAUCUUUGAGGACAGUGCUUUGCCAGGGAGGAAAAUAACAUUAAAUAGUGCAAGUCGGUCCCUAGGCAACUAAUCCCCAAAGAACAGCAUAUAAAAACAUCUGGAAGUAAUUCUGGUGACAUUGAGGUUGGCAGAUAAUGCAGCUGCACUGUGCACCUUUACUGUGAAUGGAUAAUUCACAUCCUGUGAAGCUGUAGGCUGAAAACAUUUCUUAUCUAUGUACUGGCACUAUGAUGUUGAUUAUUCCUUCUUUCCAUGCUGUGU
Centrocercus urophasianus (Greater sage-grouse) is the source of this 1692-nucleotide long non-coding RNA. RefSeq lists it as uncharacterized. Lineage: Eukaryota; Metazoa; Chordata; Aves; Galliformes; Phasianidae. The record is from RefSeq and is a predicted model, not a curated record. The transcript has 5 exons.